AUUGAACGCUGGCGGCAGGCCUAACACAUGCAAGUCGGACGGUAGCACAGAGGAGCUUGCUCCUCGGGUGACGAGUGGCGGACGGGUGAGUAAUGUCUGGGGAUCUGCCCGAUAGAGGGGGAUAACCACUGGAAACGGUGGCUAAUACCGCAUAACGUCGCAAGACCAAAGAGGGGGACCUUCGGGCCUCUCACUAUCGGAUGAACCCAGAUGGGAUUAGCUAGUAGGCGGGGUAAUGGCCCACCUAGGCGACGAUCCCUAGCUGGUAUGAGGGGAUGACCACCCACACUGAAACUGAGACACGGUCCAGACUCCUACGGGAGGCAGCAGUGGGGAAUAUUGCACAAUGGGCGCAAGCCUGAUGCAGCCAUGCCGCGUGUAUGAAGAAGGCCUUCGGGUUGUAAAGUACUUUCAGCGGGGAGGAAGGCGAUGUGGUUAAUAACCCUGUCGAUUGACGUUACCCGCAGAAGAAGCACCGGCUAACUCCGUGCCAGCCGCCGCCGUAA
Molecule: ribosomal RNA, 506 nt
Filed under: uncultured bacterium
Lineage: Bacteria
Description: partial 16S ribosomal RNA
Rfam family: Bacterial small subunit ribosomal RNA
Source: RNAcentral